CCCUCUGGGAUCUGCAGUCGU
Molecule: microRNA, 21 nt
Filed under: Callorhinchus milii (elephant shark)
Lineage: Eukaryota; Metazoa; Chordata; Chondrichthyes; Chimaeriformes; Callorhinchidae
Description: eshark_NOVEL_69
Source: RNAcentral